RNAcentral lists this long non-coding RNA (525 nucleotides) under Fukomys damarensis (Damara mole-rat). RNAcentral describes it as "lncRNA (ENSFDAG00000029356.1)". The record is from RNAcentral. Lineage: Eukaryota; Metazoa; Chordata; Mammalia; Rodentia; Bathyergidae.
UGCGUGUGUGCGUACGUGGGUGUAUGCAUACAUGUGUGUGUGCGUGCGCACGCAAAGUUAAGCCUUUACGGAUCUCCCGGGUUCUCUUGCCUUCCUCCUUGGUUUGAUUCAGAGCUGGAUAAACAGCCCCCUUUACAUCCAGCCGGCUCCUCCACACCAUUCUUAUCUGAGUUUCAUUUUAACUGGACUCAGGCCACGGAACCUCUGGCUGCCACCUGCCUGUUCAGCAGGACGGUAUUUAGGGGAGAGUGUGACAUUUUGUGAGAACCGAAGAUUCAGGAAUGUUAAUCUCCAAUUCCCUAGGCUUAUGUCAACACGACGAUGUCAGUAAUCCAACCCUUCCCACGUUAUCCGAGCAUUUCCAAGUGGUCUGCAUGGAUCUGGUCCAGAACAGCUGGAAAGACAGCUCUGGACCCACCCGGGUCCUCCCCUGUGAGCUGGAUUUGUGGGGAAUGUUUCACUUCCGUAUUCAGUAAAAGAUGGUUCCUUCCAAAUUUCUGUUUUCCUGGGAAACGCCACUGGUAA